AUAGAUAGAGGUGCGGUACUUAAGAGUAUUAUUAUGGAUUUAAGCGUGUUAAAAUAAUAGGAAAGGAUUUAUCGCCGAAGUAUAUAGCCUAAGCUUUACAGCUAUAUAACUGGGGGUAUGUAUAAUAUGCAUAUUUCUGUCACAUUUUUAUGUGGUGAGCUAUCAU
Molecule: non-coding RNA, 166 nt
Filed under: Clostridium saudiense
Lineage: Bacteria; Bacillati; Bacillota; Clostridia; Eubacteriales; Clostridiaceae
Description: Lysine riboswitch
Rfam family: Lysine riboswitch aptamer
About the family: Riboswitches are metabolite binding domains within certain messenger RNAs that serve as precision sensors for their corresponding targets. Allosteric rearrangement of mRNA structure is mediated by ligand binding, and this results in modulation of gene expression.
Source: RNAcentral